GGGGCCUUAGCUCAGUGUAGUAGAGCGCUGCCUUUGCAAGGCAGAUGUCAGGAGUUCGAAUCUCCUAGGCUCCA
This 74-nucleotide transfer RNA is filed under the name Rhodococcus (subgen. Prescottella) equi. RNAcentral describes it as "Rhodococcus hoagii tRNA-Ala". It matches the Rfam family "tRNA". Rfam says of the family: Transfer RNA (tRNA) molecules are approximately 80 nucleotides in length. Their secondary structure includes four short double-helical elements and three loops (D, anti-codon, and T loops). The record is from RNAcentral. Lineage: Bacteria; Bacillati; Actinomycetota; Actinomycetes; Mycobacteriales; Nocardiaceae.